GAUCAUGGCUCAGAACGAACGCUGGCGGCAUGCCUAACACAUGCAAGUCGAACGAGACCUUCGGGUCUAGUGGCGCACGGGUGCGUAACGCGUGGGGAUCUGCCCUUUGCUUCGGAAUAACAGUUAGAAAUGACUGCUAAUACCGGAUGAUGACUUCGGUCCAAAGAUUUAUCGGCAAAGGAUGAACCCGCGUAGGAUUAGCUAGUUGGUGGGGUAAAGGCCUACCAAGGCGACGAUCCUUAGCUGGUCUGAGAGGAUGAUCAGCCACACUGGGACUGAGACACGGCCCAGACUCCUACGGGAGGCAGCAGUGGGGAAUAUUGGACAAUGGGCGAAAGCCUGAUCCAGCAAUGCCGCGCGAGUGAUGAAGGCCUUAGGGUUGUAAAGCUCUUUUACCCGGGAUGAUAAUGACAGUACCGGGAGAAUAAGCUCCGGCUAACUCCGUG
Molecule: ribosomal RNA, 446 nt
Filed under: uncultured bacterium
Lineage: Bacteria
Description: bacterial SSU rRNA
Rfam family: Bacterial small subunit ribosomal RNA
Source: RNAcentral